Esox lucius (northern pike) is the source of this 4771-nucleotide RNA transcript. It is a transcript of the gene named nck-associated protein 5, with no coding region annotated. The transcript is spliced from 12 exons. NCBI's taxonomy places the organism in Eukaryota, Metazoa, Chordata, Actinopteri, Esociformes, Esocidae. The record is from RefSeq and is a predicted model, not a curated record.
AAUGCUAACUGACUCCCGGCAACAGUAUGGAUCUGAGGAAUAUGUGCACCAUGUUUAUGGCAUUAUAUAGAGGGAACAACAACAACCCUGACAUUACAUGGAAAAACAGCAUGGGCAUGGAGGAGACUGUGAGUAGUCUGCUACAGAACCAGGACAAAAUGGAGAGCCCCAGUGUGGAUCCACUCGACCUCAUGAAGGCCUAUAAGGACAAACUCCUGGAGGAGAUGUGGAAACAGCAGGACAGUCUGGAGGGCACACAACCUCUACCCACAGAAAGGACGCCCAGCUCUUCAGGAGUCGGCAGUAAUGGCCACAAGGAGGACUCUGACAAAACCCAGCCCAUUCUAGAGAGACUGCGGGCCCUUGAGGCGGAGAACUCUGCCCUGACGAUGGAGAAUGACAACCAAAGGAAGCAGUAUGAACGCUGCCUGGAUGAGGUGGCUAAUCAGGUGGUUCAAGCACUUCUCACUCAAAAGGACCUGAAGGAGGAGUGCGUGAAGCUGAGGACACGCGUGUUUGACUUGGAGCAACAGAACCGCAUACUGACAGUUCUGUUCCAGCAGCGGAUCAAAACAUCCACCAACCCCAUCUCCGAGGAGGUCCAGCGGAAUGGGAAGAUGGGUGUUUCUGCAGGGAGAUGGCCCAGUCUGCUGAGUCUGACCUGUCCACGCAGUAGCUGCAGUGGCAGCGAGGCUUCCUUAUCCAGUGCCUGUAGUGAGUACUCUAGUGGUUCGCAUACUUGGGCGGAAGGACGCGGCUACUCCAAGCAGUCUGCAAUAAGCCGUGAGAAGAGGAUGAGUGCCGGGUCAGUUUCCAGCCAUCACUCUGUCCCAGCGGACCAGCCAGAUCUCAGCUGGAAGCAGGGCCACAUUCUGAAGGGACUGAAGAGGCUCCAAAUGCGCAGUCCUGCUCCCAAGGAGACCUCUUCACUCGUCUCCACGUCACAUUUCAAGGACUGCAUGACCUCCAAUGAGGGCAUAUACUCUUUAGGGGCCAAGUGUAGGGCCCAAGGGGUGGUUCCUAAAUUGACAUUGGUUAAGGGAAAAACCUUUAAGCCAGGAGUUAGUACUUUAAUCUCGGACUCGGAUGAUGCAGAUGAUGAAUCCCCUCAAUCCUUAGCCAGGGAGUCCUGCGACCAACCCAUUGAGGAUAUUGUCCAUUUGGAAAGAGAGCCUGUGUCUGAAUUGAGAAUGGAAAAGGAGGUAAAGAGCCCCACUGACGCCAACUCCCAAGAAGAGCCUGUAAGACUUGUAAAGAGUUCCAGCAACUAUCUAUUACCUAUAAAAGAUGCCUUUGUGCUCGAGGGUCCUCCAUUGAGGCCUGAACACAGCCCAAUGGAGAGCACUAUUAAUCUGGGUGGACUUGAGAAAACAAACUGGUUAGAAAAAAACAAUCAGUCUGCCUUCAUGAAGUGGAACGUUAGGGACAGUUGCAAUUUGAGGUCAGAGACUGUUGAACAAACACAAGACAAAAUUACAGACAAAGAACCUGAAACAGCGGCUAGUGAAGUGACCCUACCCAUUCAGCAUGUUGCAGCCAGAGCUCUAAGUUGGGUUAGUGAGGCCAGACAUCGUAGUGUGUCCAUGGACAGGAAGCAUUACAGAGACCCAAAAAGCCAGGGCAGCUUUGAUACCAAGGACUACAACAUGUUGGAGUCUCGACAGAAGAAAGAAAAGCUUAAGGUCUGUGACUCAGCAAGGAAGGCCUUUAUCCUCCGAAGCAGGAGUGCUGACGGAAGCCAAGACCAGGCCAAGCUGCAUCAGCCCCUUCAUCAGAAGCUGCUAAAGGUCAAUAAAAGGUUUAAGAACCGUUCAAACUCACUAAGGCCAAGUUGCCCUGGGAGAAAAACACACCUCAAUAAGGCAUCUGGUCCAGCAAAUGGAUCAGUACAAAAGGAUGAAAAAGGUGAGAAUUCUACUGUUGCAACUUCAGGGUCUCCCGAGAGUAUAGUACUGGGCUCUUCCUCUUCUCCUCAGAAACUGGUCAAGGUAUUUAAGCCACAUGGGCUCAAUGACUACCCCAAGAAUGCUUGUAAAGUAUCCCAACCAGUCUCCAAGCUCCCUUCAAGGAACGACUGUGGGUUGAAAGGACCCAACUCAACCGGCUCUCUACUCAAAAAUAAACGGACAGAUCAGCACUCAGCUCCACCAUGCAUCGAGCCUCCAGUUCCCCCACACAAUGAUAUCAGGUCCCCUUCCCCUCCACCCCCACCAGGUCGGACCACCUCCCUACUGUUUCGACCUGGUUAUGACUCAUUACCUCAGGUGCACACGCCUGUUGUUCAGCCCCAGACUUCUAGCACUGUCAAGGCUAAUGCAAGUAGCACCAAAGCUCAGUCAAGUCAUUCAUCUGUUUUACAAACGCAACCUCAGAUACACAACAAAAAGGAAGACACACAUCAAAUGUCUCCCAAAAUUGCAGUUGAGGUUAAAAAGUCACCAAAGCGGGUGUCUGGAAAAGUGUAUCAUCCCUUACCAACUUCUACCCCUAUUCAAGAAUCCAAGGAAAGAGUUUCUGCCCUAUCUCAAAUGAGCAGGACUAUGGCACAAGCCCCCCUUCAGGAAAACAGUUUGCCAUUUUUGUCCCAGCAAAGUAAUGGUGAGCCACAAAGUACAAAACACUUACCUCAGGCUACAGCAUCUCCUCUAUGCCAUGGCAUAGUUAAUAACUUCCAACAUUCUGGUACGAGAGCAACAAUGUCAUCACUUCCUGUUGGAUUCAAAACCAGUGAGACAAGCCCAAAUUUAGGUUGCAACCUUGCAGUUAACAUUGCUACAAAUGGUAUGCAGACUUUAGACACCUUUAACCAGGACACCUACACACGCCCAAUGAUGCACUGUGUAAAUGCAGCUGUAGCCAAGGCCAAAGCCAGGAGAAAGCUUGAGACCCGCUGUAGCUCACUAGAGGAGCCUGCACUCCCACCUCCAGUCACAGAUAAUGGUGUAACUUUGGACUGGACAUUUGAUGAAGAGGGCUGGCUAUUCAAACGCUCAGUCUCAGUCUCUACCAGGCCCCCUCUACACCCGAUUAUGGGAAUGAACGGAGCAAAGGCACGCAGUCAAAGUUUCGGAGCACGCUACAUGGACAGACCAAAUAUCAACAGGUCUGGAAAAGUCCGUAAUCAAAUCAAAACAAAUUCAGGAAGUUCUUUGAAUUCUCUUGGUGACGUCUUUCGGGGUAGCAUGAGUGGCUCCAAUAGCUACCAUUGUCCAUUGAACAGGUCCCACAUCAACAACUUCAUGAUUGAGGAAGGUUUGCCAAUACCUUCCCAUCUGGAGGGUACAAAUGAUCGAUUUGGUCUUAAUCAUGAGAGGGUAAACUCAUCACAUCUCCAAAGUGAGAAACAGCAGUUGAGUUCUUUUUGUGAAUCCAUUCAUGUGGAACCGGAGAGAAUGUCUAACAUCUCCACCAUUGAGGAAAAAGUAAUGAUGGGAAUCGAGGAGAAUUUGCAGAAAUCUCAGGAGCAGGAGAAGAUAACUGAAACCAAGCAGAAAUCAGGGUCAUCUCUGGCAAACUGGUUUGGAUUCCGCAAGAGCAAACUUCCUGCUCUAAGUGGUAAAAAAGAAGAAAAGAAGGAACCAAAGCUUGGAUCUAUCUUGGGUGGGAAAAAUGCGAAAUCUGACAAAAAAAAGGAGAGGAGGAAAAGUGAAGGCCAUCGAAUGGAUGGCUCUGUGGGCAAAAGAGACUCCCAGGAUGCAUUGCUUCUAUGCCUCUCGAUGGCCUCCCAGGGAGCCCCAAUUGACAGCAACAUGCAAGGAGAAACCAACAUUUGUGAGGAUACAAAGACUAACACACACAGGAUGUAUCUCAGAACUGAUAAAGACAACAGUGUUACUCUGAAGAGCCCCGGUCAAGAUCACAUGCUCGGCUCCGGCAGCAAGAUGCGAACAUUGGACAGCGGCGUCGGAAUGUUUCCCCUUCUUGAUUCCUCUCCCUUCUCCUCUAUCCUCCACUUCCAUCCCAAGUCCCAGAUGGCCGAGGGUCAGUCCCUCGGCCUUCCUAGUUCUUCUAGUGAGGAUGUGUCGCCAUCCCCAUUACCCCUCUGGAGAGUGCCAUCUGACCAUCUCUGCAGCCAACCAGGGCUGGCCAAGUCCUCGUUAUUCGAUACCACAGUAACCCUCGUCCAAUCAGUGCCUUAUCCCUCUGUGGCCUUCCUUCAGCCUGUCCAAUCCCUGUCUGAGUCAUUUGUGACAUUUGCCAGUGUGUCUCAUACCCAGAGCAGGCUUCCCAGACUAGCUUCAGGUAAAGCCAAAAGAGCGCUUGUCCAGAAAUAAUUUGUUUUGAUUGUGAAAAUACUGUCCUGCCCAAUCAAUAACCAACAUUGUCAGCUGUUUCAAAAUCAAAAGAAAAACAUAGUUGGGUUCUCAAAACACUUUUGAGAGUUAAGCAGAAAACGCAUGGCACCACUGAUGGCCUGCUGUUUGUUUGCUUGCUGAUGGCGUGUUUAACAGACCAACAGAUAUUUUUCCAUGCAGAAUCAGUUUGCAAAUGAACCUCGUCAUGGCAGGUUGAAGUGAUUUCUUGCUUUAGAAUGUUAUAGACUUUAAUGGCCAUGCAUCUUGAACAAAACAGUGCUCUCUGUCUCUUCUUUUCUCAGCAGUUAGAAUGACAUGAUGGUGAAAAAGUGACAUGGAUGACUCAUUACAAACCAUCAGCAACUACAUUACGGAGCGAAAUUAGCAGCGUCGAAGGGGAGAGUUUGAGGGAGAGUGCAAUCAGCUGGCAUGUAACCUAUGGGGAGAUGCAUGAUUACAAUGGCUCAUGGGUCAGA